Molecule: ribosomal RNA, 466 nt
Filed under: uncultured bacterium
Lineage: Bacteria
Description: partial 16S ribosomal RNA
Rfam family: Bacterial small subunit ribosomal RNA
Source: RNAcentral
GACGAACGCUGGCGGCGCGCCUAACACAUGCAAGUCGAACGAGCGAGAGGGAGCUUGCUUUCUCGAGCGAGUGGCGAACGGGUGAGUAAUGCGUGAGGAACCUGCCUCAAAGAGGGGGACAACAGUUGGAAACGACUGCUAAUACCGCAUAAGCCCACGGUGCCGCAUGGCACAGAGGGAAAAGGAGCAAUCCGCUUUGAGAUGGCCUCGCGUCCGAUUAGCUAGUUGGUGAGGUAAUGGCCCACCAAGGCGACGAUCGGUAGCCGGACUGAGAGGUUGAACGGCCACAUUGGGACUGAGACACGGCCCAGACUCCUACGGGAGGCAGCAGUGGGGAAUAUUGCACAAUGGGGGAAACCCUGAUGCAGCGACGCCGCGUGGAGGAAGAAGGUCUUCGGAUUGUAAACUCCUGUUGUUGGGGAAGAUAAUGACGGUACCCAACAAGGAAGUGACGGCUAACUACGUG